Long non-coding RNA from Dicentrarchus labrax (European seabass), 2696 nucleotides. RefSeq lists it as uncharacterized. The record is from RefSeq and is a predicted model, not a curated record. The transcript is spliced from 4 exons. Lineage: Eukaryota; Metazoa; Chordata; Actinopteri; Moronidae.
GUCUCCGUCUCCUCUUUCAUGGCUUCUUGUCCUGCUGUUGUGGCAGCACAGCUUGAAUCUUCCGCUUCGUCUCCUGUUCUCUUUCUUCCUGAAAGCCUGGGAAAGAUCGAUAAGCCAGCGCACACAGUUUGAUGAGCCAGCCUAAGAAGUGUCUUUCGGGGAACUUUAAGGGGUAGCUGGCUCGCUGCCGUGUACCUGCCAUCCUAUAAUUCCUGGAGCCGGCAGGGGAAUUAAGGAGACAUGGAAAGGGAUAAGGGGCAGAGCUAGAGGGGAGGCCACCUCUGGAACCAGACUGGACACCUCGGGUGCCACCCCAGUUGAUUGACAGGUCACUGCACGCCACGUCGAAAACAGCGCGAUUUCUAAACGCAAACAGAGAAGGCAGAAUAAACGUCUUUCAAGUCACUGGCAUGGAUGGAGAAGACACACUUUCAGUGAAUACAUCAUUAUGAACUAAGUUUUAAAGUUGUUUCCUAAUGAGUCAUUGUUUUAAACUGUUGACAAUCUGAAGGCACAUUUAGAGAAGCACUAGAUUAGGAUAAUAUGGGAAACCACAUCAUAAUUAGUUUUCAGUAAGUGUAUUUAGGGACUUUAAAUCAACUCAAUUUGCAAGAAUUGAGUAGAGCUCAAAUAAUAAUAAUAAUGUAAUAGAGGCCCAGAGAUUAUCUCAAUGUCCAUGUUGCUUGUUUGCUAUUGUGAAGGUCUAAAUUUAUUAAUUUAAAGUUACUUUGGUGCUGACAGCCUACAUGAUCCAGUGUAAUUUUAUAGUAGGUAGGCUAGUAGUUGAUUUUAAGCUACAGCACGAGAAUGGGGACAAAUAGUUUAGCCUAACACAAGCUUAAGGUGUAACCAGGCUGUCUUAUUUUGUACAGGGACAGAUAACAAUGAAGAGGAAGGGAGAUAUUUCCAACUUCUUUGCUAAAAAAAACAAAUCAGGCACAGAUCAGGCACAGACAGACCCCAGCCAGCUCCCAACAUGAAACUAGCAAGGACACAAGGAGGACCCAGUCUACCACCACCAGUUUCAUCAUGGGAUGAGUCACUGAAACUUCCGCCUCUGAGGAGGAAGACAGUGAGCCAGAGCUGCUAGGAGAUGCCACCGAACCCCCCACAUCCACAUCAAGUACCACAUAUUGUGCAAAAAAAGGACCAAGUGACAUCUCAAGAUCCAGAGAGGAGGGUCCUGUUCAGCCAUGUCUGAAAAUGUUCCCAAGAACUCUACAUGGAAUAAGGAAGAGGGCAUUCAACAGCUCUUGGUAUAGGGACAAUCUAUGGCUGGAGUACUCUGUAAGUUGAAAUGGUAGUCACUUUUUCGCCUGCAGGCUUUUUUCCAUCCCUGGUACACCGGAAUCAGCCUUCACGUCCAAGUCAGGGUUCUCAAACUGGAAAAAAGACUUGUUUAAAGAUGUCGGGUUUAAAGUUCACUCAAAGUCAGAGCAACACAUGAAUGCCAUGUAUGCCUGGAGUGAAUACAAAAGGGGCAUCGAGAGUAACAAAUCAAUAUUGGACGCCUUAAAGGGGACAUAUUAUGCAAAACCAACUUUUUAUUCAUUUAUGUACAUUUGGGACUCUGGAGGGCCUAUCUGCAGGAAAAGUGGGAAAAAAUAUGACUGUUUUUGUGGGCUGCCUCAGUCCGAAUACAGGCGAUAAAGCAGUCUGUUCAGAUUUUUCCCCGUUAAUGACGUUUUCCCCGUUAUUGACGUCAGUUAUGUUGCCACCCACCACAGUUUACUUCCUGUGUUGACUAUCGGAGCUCUGCCCUUGUUACUAUAAAAGAGCAAGCUAUUUACAAUGUCUUAAGCCAGACUGAUGUGAUGAAUGUACAGGAUGUUAUGCAGACGUGGCAAGGUGAACUUGGUAUAGAUAUUGAUGGGGAUAAAUGGACUAAGAUAUGGACUCAAACAAAGAAAAUAUCUGUGUGUAACCGUGUCAGAUUGCUACAAUUUAAGAUUGUGCACCGUUUACAAAUCUCUCCUAAUAAAAGACAUACAAUGAACUCUACACUCUCACCUGCAUGUUUCAAAUGUAGUGGGCACCUAUACUCAUUGUAUCUGGUCUUGUCCUAAAAUUCAAGCAUACUGGGUGGAUGUUUUGCAAGAUCUGGAAAAUAUAUUUGGUGUUGUGUUGCACAUGGACCCUCUCUCUUUAAUCCUGGGUUACCCCAUACUAUUGUGGACGCUAACUCUACCAGACUGUAUAAUAUCCUCACAUAUGCAGCAAGGAAGAACAUCUUUCUGUCUUGGAUAAGUGACAAACCCAUUACUAAAUCAAACUGGCGUAAGAUAAUUAUGGAAUGUUUUCCCCUUGAGUACCUGACCUGUCUGCUUCACUCUUCAGAGGGACAGUUUAUGAACAUUUGGACUCCAUAUCUUCACUUUUACAGCUCUACAGUGGCUUCAAUGUUUAAGAGUGUUGUCCGUGGCAAGCCUUUGGCUCUUUUCCUGUGUCUUGCUCUUAACACUGUACUUGCAACCUCGUCAUUUUAAACUUCCAGAAUUGUGAACUAGGGUGUAUUUUUUUAUUUCUUAUUUUUUUAUUUAUUUCCUAUUCAUUGUACUGGUCGGGUGCAUGUGAGAUGUAAAUAUUGUAUAGACUGUCUAGACCAAUGUUGUACUGAGCAUUGUUGUUGUUGUUUUAUCGUUGUGGUUAUGUCAAUAUAUAAAAGCUCAAUAAACAUAUUUGAGAAAAAAAAAAAA